Molecule: ribosomal RNA, 2923 nt
Filed under: Staphylococcus aureus
Lineage: Bacteria; Bacillati; Bacillota; Bacilli; Caryophanales; Staphylococcaceae
Description: 23S ribosomal RNA
Rfam family: Bacterial large subunit ribosomal RNA
Source: RNAcentral
GAUUAAGUUAUUAAGGGCGCACGGUGGAUGCCUUGGCACUAGAAGCCGAUGAAGGACGUUACUAACGACGAUAUGCUUUGGGGAGCUGUAAGUAAGCUUUGAUCCAGAGAUUUCCGAAUGGGGAAACCCAGCAUGAGUUAUGUCAUGUUAUCGAUAUGUGAAUACAUAGCAUAUCAGAAGGCACACCCGGAGAACUGAAACAUCUUAGUACCCGGAGGAAGAGAAAGAAAAUUCGAUUCCCUUAGUAGCGGCGAGCGAAACGGGAAGAGCCCAAACCAACAAGCUUGCUUGUUGGGGUUGUAGGACACUCUAUACGGAGUUACAAAGGACGACAUUAGACGAAUCAUCUGGAAAGAUGAAUCAAAGAAGGUAAUAAUCCUGUAGUCGAAAAUGUUGUCUCUCUUGAGUGGAUCCUGAGUACGACGGAGCACGUGAAAUUCCGUCGGAAUCUGGGAGGACCAUCUCCUAAGGCUAAAUACUCUCUAGUGACCGAUAGUGAACCAGUACCGUGAGGGAAAGGUGAAAAGCACCCCGGAAGGGGAGUGAAAUAGAACCUGAAACCGUGUGCUUACAAGUAGUCAGAGCCCGUUAAUGGGUGAUGGCGUGCCUUUUGUAGAAUGAACCGGCGAGUUACGAUUUGAUGCAAGGUUAAGCAGUAAAUGUGGAGCCGUAGCGAAAGCGAGUCUGAAUAGGGCGUUUAGUAUUUGGUCGUAGACCCGAAACCAGGUGAUCUACCCUUGGUCAGGUUGAAGUUCAGGUAACACUGAAUGGAGGACCGAACCGACUUACGUUGAAAAGUGAGCGGAUGAACUGAGGGUAGCGGAGAAAUUCCAAUCGAACCUGGAGAUAGCUGGUUCUCUCCGAAAUAGCUUUAGGGCUAGCCUCAAGUGAUGAUUAUUGGAGGUAGAGCACUGUUUGGACGAGGGGCCCCUCUCGGGUUACCGAAUUCAGACAAACUCCGAAUGCCAAUUAAUUUAACUUGGGAGUCAGAACAUGGGUGAUAAGGUCCGUGUUCGAAAGGGAAACAGCCCAGACCACCAGCUAAGGUCCCAAAAUAUAUGUUAAGUGGAAAAGGAUGUGGCGUUGCCCAGACAACUAGGAUGUUGGCUUAGAAGCAGCCAUCAUUUAAAGAGUGCGUAAUAGCUCACUAGUCGAGUGACACUGCGCCGAAAAUGUACCGGGGCUAAACAUAUUACCGAAGCUGUGGAUUGUCCUUUGGACAAUGGUAGGAGAGCGUUCUAAGGGCGUUGAAGCAUGAUCGUAAGGACAUGUGGAGCGCUUAGAAGUGAGAAUGCCGGUGUGAGUAGCGAAAGACGGGUGAGAAUCCCGUCCACCGAUUGACUAAGGUUUCCAGAGGAAGGCUCGUCCGCUCUGGGUUAGUCGGGUCCUAAGCUGAGGCCGACAGGCGUAGGCGAUGGAUAACAGGUUGAUAUUCCUGUACCACCUAUAAUCGUUUUAAUCGAUGGGGGGACGCAGUAGGAUAGGCGAAGCGUGCGAUUGGAUUGCACGUCUAAGCAGUAAGGCUGAGUAUUAGGCAAAUCCGGUACUCGUUAAGGCUGAGCUGUGAUGGGGAGAAGACAUUGUGUCUUCGAGUCGUUGAUUUCACACUGCCGAGAAAAGCCUCUAGAUAGAAAAUAGGUGCCCGUACCGCAAACCGACACAGGUAGUCAAGAUGAGAAUUCUAAGGUGAGCGAGCGAACUCUCGUUAAGGAACUCGGCAAAAUGACCCCGUAACUUCGGGAGAAGGGGUGCUCUUUAGGGUUAACGCCCAGAAGAGCCGCAGUGAAUAGGCCCAAGCGACUGUUUAUCAAAAACACAGGUCUCUGCUAAACCGUAAGGUGAUGUAUAGGGGCUGACGCCUGCCCGGUGCUGGAAGGUUAAGAGGAGUGGUUAGCUUCUGCGAAGCUACGAAUCGAAGCCCCAGUAAACGGCGGCCGUAACUAUAACGGUCCUAAGGUAGCGAAAUUCCUUGUCGGGUAAGUUCCGACCCGCACGAAAGGCGUAACGAUUUGGGCACUGUCUCAACGAGAGACUCGGUGAAAUCAUAGUACCUGUGAAGAUGCAGGUUACCCGCGACAGGACGGGAAGACCCCGUGGAGCUUUACUGUAGCCUGAUAUUGAAAUUCGGCACAGCUUGUACAGGAUAGGUAGGAGCCUUUGAAACGUGAGCGCUAGCUUACGUGGAGGCGCUGGUGGGAUACUACCCUAGCUGUGUUGGCUUUCUAACCCGCACCACUUAUCGUGGUGGGAGACAGUGUCAAGCGGGCAGUUUGACUGGGGCGGUCGCCUCCUAAAAGGUAACGGAGGCGCUCAAAGGUUCCCUCAGAAUGGUUGGAAAUCAUUCAUAGAGUGUAAAGGCAUAAGGGAGCUUGACUGCGAGACCUACAAGUCGAGCAGGGUCGAAAGACGGACUUAGUGAUCCGGUGGUUCCGCAUGGAAGGGCCAUCGCUCAACGGAUAAAAGCUACCCCGGGGAUAACAGGCUUAUCUCCCCCAAGAGUUCACAUCGACGGGGAGGUUUGGCACCUCGAUGUCGGCUCAUCGCAUCCUGGGGCUGUAGUCGGUCCCAAGGGUUGGGCUGUUCGCCCAUUAAAGCGGUACGCGAGCUGGGUUCAGAACGUCGUGAGACAGUUCGGUCCCUAUCCGUCGUGGGCGUAGGAAAUUUGAGAGGAGCUGUCCUUAGUACGAGAGGACCGGGAUGGACAUACCUCUGGUGUACCAGUUGUCGUGCCAACGGCAUAGCUGGGUAGCUAUGUGUGGACGGGAUAAGUGCUGAAAGCAUCUAAGCAUGAAGCCCCCCUCAAGAUGAGAUUUCCCAACUUCGGUUAUAAGAUCCCUCAAAGAUGAUGAGGUUAAUAGGUUCGAGGUGGAAGCAUGGUGACAUGUGGAGCUGACGAAUACUAAUCGAUCGAAGACUUAAUCAA